AUAACGGAGACAGAAAUUUUCAAAAUGAAUGAAAAUAACCAUAUCUCAAUUAUUAUCACAUUAACGUGUAUGUUGGUUUCAAAGGUUGAUGCAUUUGGAGCAUGUGAAAUUUCUAAAUUAACCUUGAGAUUUGUUGAAAAAUGUCCAGAGGAUAAGGAGUCGUGGUUGUGAGCAGCAGAAAAAUUAAAUUGUGGGUCCAUUACUCAGUCAUGUGCAGAAUCCAUGGGACCCUCAUUCAAGAUUCAAAAUUACAUUUUCCAAUACCACUGUGUAAUAAACGCGUGGCGAAACGCAACAAUGGAAGUAUGUGCACUUAAUCGUACGAUAUUAGGAUUUUGUGCCGAGUUUAAUGUACAAGGGGCGGUCAUACAGGAUAAUUACGAUGCAGAUUGUACAAAGCAUAACCCACCUUGUCCA
Molecule: long non-coding RNA, 417 nt
Organism: Saccostrea echinata
Lineage: Eukaryota; Metazoa; Mollusca; Bivalvia; Ostreida; Ostreidae
Exons: 3
Source: RefSeq, a predicted model, not a curated record